AAUGUACGCAUCCGUGUAAACAUUUUUUUUUUUUUUAAACUUCACGGCUCGCUGUUUAAAGUUUAAACGCAGUUUUCAUUCAACUCUAUUUUCCAUGCACAUGCUGGAUGUUCCCGAAUGCUUUUUUUCCCCUCCUGUGGACAGAAAUUAAGACUUUCUGCCCGUGGAUUUGGGGAGGAACUCGUGGUUUUGUGCAAGCAAGGAGCAUUUCCUAAGUGGAUCCGGCGAGCAGAUACCGACAGAUCGCAGACGAACGCUUAUGGUGCCAGGAUCUGUACGGCCCCCAGCAGAAGACUCCGCCCACUUUGAAUGCUAUGCCAUUAGAUCAGAUGUGAGCAAGUAAGAUCAAGGUGUCAAAUUGCCCUUUACCUUACUCUUUAGUAUACAUGUGAUUAAAAAGAUUAAAGGUUGUGUCUGAAAUGAGUAUUUAUUUCAAUCAUAUAAUAUAGAUUUACAUUUACAUUAGAUAUAUUUGUGUUAAAGAAAUAUCCACCCUGAAGUUCAGAGCAGAGUUACUGUCAAGACAAAAAGGCCUUUGAAUUCUCGUGGACUUUUCUGUUUUGUGAAACAGAGCCUGUUGCUGUCUUCUUAAACCGUAUUGUAAUCACUUAAGCACUGAUUUUGUGAUAAGAAUCUUCUAGAAUGAAGAAAUGCUGAAGCUGGUAGCUAAUUGCAGACUCAUUAUACUAGCUGAUAGGACAUCUGAAAGUCUGGAAAAUUUUGUGGAAAAAUUAGAUGCCAAAAUCACAUCUCCCAUGUAUGUAUGGAAACUCAAGAUGCAUAAAGCCAGAAGCAAAUUAAAGUGACAAAGGAGGUAGGUAAGGAGAGGAGAGGAAUUCUGUGGCUGUGUUUCUGACAGUAGUUCAGCUGAAGUAUUUCUGAAACCAGCCCCUUUUGUUUCCUUAUGCUGUGAUUAUGUGCACCCGCUCGCAGUUUUAAAGGCUCUCUGCCAUCGAUGUACAUGUGCGUCACGAGAAAAUGGCUUCAGCAGAUGGCUUCUCCUUCUCUCUUUCCUUCUGAAGAAGUGAAAGGUGCUACUACCUGACUGUCAGUGGAAUAAGUUGUAGUGCAGCAGCAAACAGACAGCCUGAGAGAAAGCACUUGACUACCGUUAUGGAUGUGUCCAUUAACAGCCUUUGAUGACGGGUCAAGUAGUGACAGCAGCUGAUGUGAUGAGAGAGUGUGUGAGUCUGUGUGUUAGUGUGAUCUGCCAUUCUUGCCUUCACAGUUUAGAGAGCUGCUUUUCUGAGGGGUCUCCACGUGAAGGGACGCAGCAGCUAAUGAUGUCAUGAUGUCUUAAUUCAGAGAUGUGGCUUUGGAGCUGUGAGGAGGGUUUCAGAAGAUCCUGUAGGGGUCAUGGAACCGCCGGCUUAAGGUGCUGUCACAUUUACAGUCAUUUCAGCUGAAAUCUGUGUGGUAUGGAAUUUUGUAACACAAAAUUCCCCACGCAGAUGUGGCUCAUGUUCAGAUUGAUUACACUAAUUUGAUGGUUUCACCAAAAGAAAACUGCUUGGUUUGAAGUGACCCCCCCCCACAUCCCUCGUUCUUUUAAUAUGAAUCCAGGUGAUCAGGAAUUUUUUUGUGACAUUAGACAAUGGACCAUUUUUGCCUACAAAAUUUUGUGGAAAUUUUGCUACUGUGACCACACCUUAAUGAAAAAAUCUUAACAAAGUAGUAUGAACUCACUAGAUUUCGCACUCUAUUUAGUUCCAUUCAUAGACGUUUCAUUUUCUGCUUAAGGCUUGGUGAACUCUAACUUGAAAAUUUGUGUAGUGCAACAAAAGUAAUUCGAACUUCAAUAAACUGAACUGAAGUAAUUCUAUGUGCCUUAAC
Molecule: long non-coding RNA, 1833 nt
Organism: Cyprinus carpio (common carp)
Lineage: Eukaryota; Metazoa; Chordata; Actinopteri; Cypriniformes; Cyprinidae
Source: Ensembl